AGGGGCUUAGGAUAACAUUGAGACCAAGAGCCUUCAAAGCUCUAAGCGGGUGUGAAAAUCACCCAGCCCUUG
This 72-nucleotide transfer RNA is filed under the name Thymallus brevicephalus. RNAcentral describes it as "tRNA-Trp". It matches the Rfam family "tRNA". From Rfam's summary of the family: Transfer RNA (tRNA) molecules are approximately 80 nucleotides in length. Their secondary structure includes four short double-helical elements and three loops (D, anti-codon, and T loops). The record is from RNAcentral. Lineage: Eukaryota; Metazoa; Chordata; Actinopteri; Salmoniformes; Salmonidae.